Molecule: long non-coding RNA, 591 nt
Organism: Mugil cephalus (flathead mullet)
Lineage: Eukaryota; Metazoa; Chordata; Actinopteri; Mugiliformes; Mugilidae
Exons: 3
Source: RefSeq, a predicted model, not a curated record
UGACCCUUGUUGGGUGGAUAGGUCCAAUAUAUACUGCUGCUUCGUCACCAUGAUGAGCUAAAAAGGAUUCGGACUGCAUUUUUGAAUAGGUAAGGUUGAUGCGCAUGCACCGCCUCUUCUUCUUCUUUGGCUGAUGUCUCUAGCAGAAACAGCGCCACGCACAGGCCCACGAUAUGUACUACAGCCUUUCCACAACUGGAUGCGGUCUCGCAACGGAUCGUCAUUUACGGAGAAAUACCCGACAGUACGCCACAGAAAACCGGAUCGUUUUCGUACGUGCGGACACUUCUCAAUACAGUCCCAGUCACGUCUGCAGCUACGGGCAGCGACGAGUCCACCCCAAGGAGCUUCCACCGAGCGGCUGAGGAAGGUUAUCUUGAGGGAAAGGAAUGCACAACAGGGGCAUAAUCGAUACAAUACGGAGGAGCGGGGUCCCACAGGAGAGAUUCCCCAAAUGCACUUAGAGGCUGUGUUGUUGACAAAAUAUGUUGAGAGAAGGAGGCUGCAUGACAAGUUCAUGUAACCAUGCACACACAGUAGCGGUUUCAAUGAUUUUUCUUACAAAAACAAAAUACAAUUCCCAUGAAAUUA